Molecule: ribosomal RNA, 394 nt
Filed under: uncultured bacterium
Lineage: Bacteria
Description: partial 16S ribosomal RNA
Rfam family: Bacterial small subunit ribosomal RNA
Source: RNAcentral
CCUACGGGAGGCAGCAGUGAGGAAUAUUGGUCAAUGGACGGGAGUCUGAACCAGCCAAGCCGCGUGAGGGAUGACUGUCCUGUGUAUUGUAAACCUCUUUUGUCUGGGAAUAAAGACUGGUAUGCGUCCCCGCUUGUGUGUACCUUAUGAAUAAGGAUCGGCUAACUCCGUGCCAGCAGCCGCGGUAAUACGGAGGAUGCGAGCGUUAUCCGGAUUUAUUGGGUUUAAAGGGGGCGGAGGUGGGUUGUUAAGUCAGUUGGUAAAGGUGGGGGCUCAACCGGAAACUCGCAUUUGAUACUGGCAGGCUCGAGUACAGUAGAGGUAGGCGGAAUGCGCGGUGUAGCGGUGAAAUGCAUAGAUAUCACGAAGAACUCCGAUUGCGAAGGCAGCAUAC